AUUAAUGAUAUCACAAGAGAGGCCAUUUCACCUUGGGAUUGUCUAAAUUGAGGAAGAUAUUGACCCUCCAUGGUGCCAAAAAUGGUUGAUGCUUUAAUAACCUCUUGGCUGCACUACUGUAAUGCUUUACUAUCUGGAUGCACUCAACUGACCUUGAAAAGUCAGCUGCUAAGGUAUAUACAAGAGCCAAGAAAGGUUCACAGAUCAUUCCAACCCUGGCAUUCUCCUGGUUCAAGCCCCAUGCCAUGAUGCAACCUGCAGACUGAGGUGCAUCACCUAACCCUUCCUGACUGGCAUAUGAAUAUAAUCUUUUUGCAUGGACUAUUUUACCAGCUAAUUUAAUACCUAACCUCAGGUUGUAAUCUGCCUAGUCACUUUGUAUGUUUAUGCUGAAAGAUUCCCAUUACCUCAGUAUUUGCAUUUAACUACACACAGUGGGCUAGCCAGCGGAGGAUGGGCUCCCCCUCAAUAUUUGGUUUCCCCCUUAGUUUUCCUUCAGCCUCGGCCUUGCCUAAUUUAUCCUAUUUCUCAUCAUUUUGUAAAGUGUUUUAAGACAGUGUCGCUUUAAAAAAAAACAAAAAAAACACUAUAAAUAAAACAGAAUUGUAGGUACUGAUAUUACGUGCAAUGCAGGAUCAUAUCUGAGACAUUUCUGUUGUUGUUAAAUUUCUCAAAUUUUAUUUUAGCAAGUUAACAUUGACCCACAUUGUCUGGUUCCUGUUAAGAAAACAUUAUGAUAUUUUUUCCCCUGA
This is a long non-coding RNA of Anguilla anguilla (European eel), 752 nucleotides long. RefSeq lists it as uncharacterized. The record is from RefSeq and is a predicted model, not a curated record. NCBI's taxonomy places the organism in Eukaryota, Metazoa, Chordata, Actinopteri, Anguilliformes, Anguillidae. The transcript has 2 exons.